This 1373-nucleotide ribosomal RNA is filed under the name Campylobacter jejuni. Its description in RNAcentral is "partial 23S ribosomal RNA". It matches the Rfam family "Bacterial large subunit ribosomal RNA", at positions 1 to 1245 of the family's 2925-position model. The record is from RNAcentral. Lineage: Bacteria; Pseudomonadati; Campylobacterota; Epsilonproteobacteria; Campylobacterales; Campylobacteraceae.
AAAAAAGGUAAGCUACUAAGAGCGAAUGGUGGAUGCCUUGACUGGUAAAGGCGAUGAAGGACGUACUAGACUGCGAUAAGCUACGGGGAGCUGUCAAGAAGCUUUGAUCCGUAGAUUUCCGAAUGGGGCAACCCAAUGUAUAGAGAUAUACAUUACCUAUAUAGGAGCGAACGAGGGGAAUUGAAACAUCUUAGUACCCUCAGGAAAAGAAAUCAAUAGAGAUUGCGUCAGUAGCGGCGAGCGAAAGCGCAAGAGGGCAAACCCAGUGCUUGCACUGGGGGUUGUAGGACUGCAAUGUGCAAGAGGUAAGUUUAGCAGAACAUUCUGGAAAGUAUAACCAUAGAGGGUGAUAGUCCCGUAUGCGAAAAACAAACCUUAGCUAGCAGUAUCCUGAGUAGGGCGGGACACGAGGAAUCCUGUCUGAAUCCGGGUCGACCACGAUCCAACCCUAAAUACUAAUACCAGAUCGAUAGUGCACAAGUACCGUGAGGGAAAGGUGAAAAGAACUGAGGUGAUCAGAGUGAAAUAGAACCUGAAACCAUUUGCUUACAAUCAUUCAGAGCCCUAUGUAGCAAUACAGGGUGAUGGACUGCCUUUUGCAUAAUGAGCCUGCGAGUUGUGGUGUCUGGCAAGGUUAAGCAAACGCGAAGCCGUAGCGAAAGCGAGUCUGAAUAGGGCGCUUAGUCAGAUGCUGCAGACCCGAAACGAAGUGAUCUAUCCAUGAGCAAGUUGAAGCUAGUGUAAGAACUAGUGGAGGACUGAACCCAUAGGCGUUGAAAAGCCCCGGGAUGACUUGUGGAUAGGGGUGAAAGGCCAAUCAAACUUCGUGAUAGCUGGUUCUCUCCGAAAUAUAUUUAGGUAUAGCGUUGUGUCGUAAUAUAAGGGGGUAGAGCACUGAAUGGGCUAGGGCAUACACCAAUGUACCAAACCCUAUCAAACUCCGAAUACCUUAUAUGUAAUCACAGCAGUCAGGCGGCGAGUGAUAAAAUCCGUCGUCAAGAGGGAAACAACCCAGACUACCAGCUAAGGUCCCUAAAUCUUACUUAAGUGGAAAACGAUGUGAAGUUACUUAAACAACCAGGAGGUUGGCUUAGAAGCAGCCAUCCUUUAAAGAAAGCGUAAUAGCUCACUGGUCUAGUGAUUUUGCGCGGAAAAUAUAACGGGGCUAAAGUAAGUACCGAAGCUGUAGACUUGCACACAACUUAGAUUAUUUAAGUUUAGAAUAUGAGAAACUAAGUUAUAUGUUUAGUUAUAUUUUUACUGAUUUUUAUAGAGUAAAGAUAGAAAUAAAACUUAGUAAAAUCAGUAAAAAUAUUCUUAGACUAAAGUUAAGUAGUUUAAGUUGUGUGCAAGUGGUAGGAGAGCGUUCUAUU